RNAcentral lists this ribosomal RNA (326 nucleotides) under uncultured eukaryote. RNAcentral's name for it is "partial 18S ribosomal RNA". It matches the Rfam family "Eukaryotic small subunit ribosomal RNA", at positions 1470 to 1796 of the family's 1831-position model. The record is from RNAcentral.
CCCUUAGAUGUUCUGGGCCGCACGCGCGCUACACUGAUGCAUUCAACAAGCCUAGCCUUGACCGAGGGGUCCGGGUAAUCUUUGAAACUGCAUCGUGAUGGGGCUAGAUUAUUGCAAUUAUUAAUCUUCAACGAGGAAUGCCUAGUAAGCGUGAUUCAUCAAAUCGCGUUGAUUACGUCCCUGCCCUUUGUACACACCGCCCGUCGCUCCUACCGAUUGAAUGUGUUGGUGAGGAGCUCGGAUUGGCAGCAGUUGGUGGUUCGCCACCGGCUAUUGCUGAGAAGUCCUCCAAACCGCCCCAUUUAGAGGAAGGAGAAGUCGUAACA